This 642-nucleotide ribosomal RNA is filed under the name Streptomyces sp. FXJ1.259. RNAcentral's name for it is "bacterial SSU rRNA". It matches the Rfam family "Bacterial small subunit ribosomal RNA", at positions 56 to 717 of the family's 1533-position model. The record is from RNAcentral. Lineage: Bacteria; Bacillati; Actinomycetota; Actinomycetes; Kitasatosporales; Streptomycetaceae.
UGCAGUCGACGGUGAAGCCCUUCGGGGUGGAUCAGUGGCGAACGGGUGAGUAACACGUGGGCAAUCUGCCCUGCACUCUGGGACAAGCCCUGGAAACGGGGUCUAAUACCGGAUAUGACCAUUGACCGCAUGGUUGGUGGUGUAAAGCUCCGGCGGUGCAGGAUGAGCCCGCGGCCUAUCAGCUUGUUGGUGGGGUGAUGGCCUACCAAGGCGACGACGGGUAGCCGGCCUGAGAGGGCGACCGGCCACACUGGGACUGAGACACGGCCCAGACUCCUACGGGAGGCAGCAGUGGGGAAUAUUGCACAAUGGGCGAAAGCCUGAUGCAGCGACGCCGCGUGAGGGAUGACGGCCUUCGGGUUGUAAACCUCUUUCAGCAGGGAAGAAGCGCAAGUGACGGUACCUGCAGAAGAAGCACCGGCUAACUACGUGCCAGCAGCCGCGGUAAUACGUAGGGUGCGAGCGUUGUCCGGAAUUAUUGGGCGUAAAGAGCUCGUAGGCGGCUUGUCGCGUCGGAUGUGAAAGCCCGGGGCUUAACUCCGGGUCUGCAUUCGAUACGGGCAGGCUAGAGUUCGGUAGGGGAGAUCGGAAUUCCUGGUGUAGCGGUGAAAUGCGCAGAUAUCAGGAGGAACACCGGUGGCG